GAUGAAGAACGUAGCGAAAUGCGAUAAGUAAUGUGAAUUGCAGAAUUCAGUGAAUCAUCGAAUCUUUGAACGCACAUUACGCCCGCCAGUAUUCUGGCGGGCAUGCCUGUCCGAGCGUCAUUUCAACCAUCAAGCCUCGUGCUUGUGUUGGGGACCUGCGUCCGACGCAGGCCCUGAAAACCAGUGGCGGGCUCGCUGUCCACACCGAGCGUAGUAACUAACCUCGCUAUGGAGUGGCGCGGGCGCCUGCCGUAAAACCCCCAAUUUCACAAGGUUGACCUCGGAUCAGGUAGGAAUACCCGCUGAACUUAAGCAUAUCAAUAAGCGGAGGA
RNAcentral lists this unclassified non-coding RNA (332 nucleotides) under soil metagenome. RNAcentral's name for it is "partial contains 5.8S ribosomal RNA, internal transcribed spacer 2, and large subunit ribosomal RNA". The stretch from base 1 to 120 matches the Rfam family "5.8S ribosomal RNA", at positions 35 to 154 of the family's 154-position model. The record is from RNAcentral.